This 57-nucleotide transfer RNA is filed under the name Dipodomys ordii (Ord's kangaroo rat). It matches the Rfam family "tRNA", at positions 8 to 63 of the family's 71-position model. From Rfam's summary of the family: Transfer RNA (tRNA) molecules are approximately 80 nucleotides in length. Their secondary structure includes four short double-helical elements and three loops (D, anti-codon, and T loops). Further hydrogen bonds mediate the characteristic L-shaped molecular structure. tRNAs have two regions of fundamental functional importance: the anti-codon, which is responsible for specific mRNA codon recognition, and the 3' end, to which the tRNAs corresponding amino acid is attached (by aminoacyl-tRNA synthetases). tRNAs cope with the degeneracy of the genetic code in two manners: having more than one tRNA (with a specific anti-codon) for a particular amino acid; and 'wobble' base-pairing, i.e. permitting non-standard base-pairing at the 3rd anti-codon position. The record is from Rfam by way of RNAcentral. Lineage: Eukaryota; Metazoa; Chordata; Mammalia; Rodentia; Heteromyidae.
UGGCUCAGCGGUAGAGCGCUUGCCUUGCAUGCAUGAGGCCUUGGGUUCGAUUCCUCA